RNAcentral lists this ribosomal RNA (253 nucleotides) under uncultured bacterium. RNAcentral's name for it is "partial 16S ribosomal RNA". It matches the Rfam family "Bacterial small subunit ribosomal RNA", at positions 524 to 776 of the family's 1533-position model. The record is from RNAcentral.
UACGUAGGGUCCGAGCGUUGUCCGGAAUUAUUGGGCGUAAAGGGCUCGUAGGCGGUCUGUUGCGUCGGGAGUGAAAACUUACAGCUUAACUGUGAGCGUGCUUUCGAUACGGGCAGACUUGAGGCAUUCAGGGGAGAACGGAAUUCCUGGUGUAGCGGUGAAAUGCGCAGAUAUCGGGAAGAACACCCGUGGCUAAGGCGGCUCUCUAGUACGGUACUGACGCUGAGACGCGAAAGCGUGGGGAGCGAACAGG